RNAcentral lists this long non-coding RNA (1202 nucleotides) under Bemisia tabaci. Its description in RNAcentral is "lncRNA ENSSWEETPG007760". Lineage: Eukaryota; Metazoa; Arthropoda; Insecta; Hemiptera; Aleyrodidae. The record is from RNAcentral.
AUUUAAUGCAGAUGAAUACAUUCACACCUUCAAAUCCUUAUGAAAUGCAACUCAUGCAUGAUUUCUUAAGGCAGCAGCAUCGCCUAUCGAUACCCUCACCUUCACCCUCCACAAGAUCCAGUGUAAGUAUUCUUCAAUGUUUGUCAGAUGCCAUGAGUAUGCCGAACAGUCUCUCAGUUAACUCAUUGACUUCCUUUUCAGCAGAUGUCAUCAGGUCUUGGUUUACUGGUCGAGUGCUCUGGCUGGUGAAAUAAAAGAGAGCAGUUCUUAUCAAACUUUAACACACUUAAAGUUGGACUUGAAGUAAAAAAUUGUAUAGAUUCUUUGAAUUGAUGCGUUUGGUGCAAGAUAGGCACUUCUCGAUUGUCGUUCAAAAUCUCCGCUAAUAUCUUACUCUUUGAAAGGAAAGUGAAGAUUCUGAAUAUGCUCUACAAUACUAAGAAUGCUCCAAAGAAAAUAUUCCAGAAAAAUCACCCACUAGAUUCUUCACCAAGACAUAAAUUAGCAGUAGAGACUCUAAAACACUGCAACCAAGAAGAGCCAAUCACUAUCACCUCAAUUGGUAGCAUCUUUUGACCAGGUCUAUAAUGUAAGAAUAAUUCAACUUUAAAAUUCAUUUUCCAAGAAUAUUUGUACUUCUCCUUGUUUCUGUCAAUUUUUCCAAUCGUUAUUGUUCCUUUUUCUCGCAGAGUCCAGGAACUGUAAACGCUCCGCAAAGACGAAGCUCCUCACCUGCUAAACUGACUCAUGUUCAGGGAACCAUUUUCGAAGAAGCAGCACCACUCAAACCAGACGAUGGAGUCAGCAUGCCUACCAAUAUGCUACUUCAACGAAGAACAAUUACUCCACCGAACACCAAUGCAUCCCUCCAACGCAAGUCUGGAGUUGCUUCAAUGGAGCAGAGUCCUCGCAUGCCCCUCUCGGUCACUGUUGAUAGCUCUCUGUCUCAGAAUUCAAGUGUCCCUGCAUCCAAUCUACCCGCAUCGAGUCUCCCUACUUCCAGUCCCCUUGUAGCGAGUAUACCUGCAUCUAGUCUACCCACAAUUAGUCACCCAGCAUCAAGUUUGCCUGCAUUUAGUCUUCCAGCAUCAAGUGGCUCGAUUCAGAAAUCGGAGCCUCGGUUUCCAGUGCUAAUCAAGCACCAGUAUCGCGCGAUAUUGAAGCAAAAAGUUUACCAUCUUCAUCGCUACCCUCAAUUGUAG